RNAcentral lists this ribosomal RNA (774 nucleotides) under Emblica officinalis (emblic). RNAcentral describes it as "eukaryotic LSU rRNA". The stretch from base 333 to 488 matches the Rfam family "5.8S ribosomal RNA". Lineage: Eukaryota; Viridiplantae; Streptophyta; Magnoliopsida; Malpighiales; Phyllanthaceae. The record is from RNAcentral.
GGCGGUUCGCCGCCGACGACGUCGCGAGAAGUCCACUGAACCUUAUCAUUUAGAGGAAGGAGAAGUCGUAACAAGGUUUCCGUAGGUGAACCUGCGGAAGGAUCAUUGUCAAAACCUUGUACUGGUAUGACCCGCGAACAAGUUUAGUCACUGCGGAUGGUGCCUUGUGCACUUGAAGCCAGGCCACGCGGGGUGCUAUGCUCCUUGCGGAGGCCACAUAAACCAACCCCGGCGCGGAAUGCGCCAAGGAAAACGAAUCUAAAAGAGAGAACUCUACGUUCGCCUCGGAAACGAUGUGUGCAUGUAGUUGAAUCUCCUUUCAUAACCAAAACGACUCUCGGCAACGGAUAUCUCGGCUCUCGCAUCGAUGAAGAACGUAGCGAAAUGCGAUACUUGGUGUGAAUUGCAGAAUCCCGUGAACCAUCGAGUCUUUGAACGCAAGUUGCGCCCAAAGCCUUCGGGUCGAGGGCACGUCUGCCUGGGUGUCACGCAACGUCGCUCCCUCACUUCCCUCUUGUGGGGCUCGUGAAUUGGGAGCGGAAAAUGGCUUCCCAUAAACUUCUGAAAUUGUGGUUGGCCCAAACAUGAGACCAGGUCGGUUAGUGCCGUGGCAUUCGGUGGUUGAAAAUACCCUAAAAACAGCCUUGUUCAUUUGGCCGAACCAGCACGGAUCUCAACGACCCUUUAUGUAUCUGACGCGACCCCAGGUCAGACGGGAUUACCCGCUGAGUUUAAGCAUAUCAAUAAGCGGAGAAAAGAAACUUCAAGAUUCCU